UGGAAUGAGAACAAUUUAAAUACCUUAACGAGGAACAAUUAGAGGGCAAGUCUGGUGCCAGCAGCCGCGGUAAUUCCAGCUCUGAUAGUAUAUAUUAAAGUUGUUGCAGUUAAAAAGCUCGUAGUUGAAACUUGGGUGCGUAGGGGCGGUCUCUUUUAGAGUACUACCCUGAAACAUCUUUCUUUGGUGUAAACUUUCUAUUUAUUUAGGAAGUGUAAACCAAACAUUUACUUUGAAAAAAUUAGAGUGUUCAAAGCAGGCCUUUGCUCGAAUAUAUUAGCAUGGAAUAAUAGAAUAGGACGUAUGGUUCUAUUUUGUUGGUUUCUAGGACCGUCGUAAUGAUUAAUAGGGACGGUCGGGGGCAUCAGUAUUCAGUUGUCAGAGGUGAAAUUCUUGGAUUUACUGAAGACUAACUACUGCGAAAGCAUUUGCCAAGGACGUUUUCAUUAAUCAAGAACGAAAGUUAGGGGAUCGAAGACGAUCAGAUACCGUCGUAGUCUUAACCGUAAACUAUGCCGACUAGGGAUCGGAGGGCGUUAUAAUAACCUCUCCGGCACCUUACGAGAAAUCAAAGUUUUUGGGUUCUGGGGGGAGUAUGGUUGCAAGGCUGAAACUUAAAGGA
This 622-nucleotide ribosomal RNA is filed under the name Geotrichum candidum. RNAcentral's name for it is "SSU rRNA". It matches the Rfam family "Eukaryotic small subunit ribosomal RNA", at positions 510 to 1151 of the family's 1831-position model. Lineage: Eukaryota; Fungi; Ascomycota; Dipodascomycetes; Dipodascales; Dipodascaceae. The record is from RNAcentral.